AUUUCAACUCUAACGUAUAAAUUAUUUUCGCCACUAUGGAAGGUAAGGUUCGAGAAGAAUUGUAAUUCAAACGAUCUCAAGAUGGCGGUAAUAACAAAAGAAAGAAGAGGAGUCUGGUAAAAGUCAUCUUGAUAACUUCUUCGAGGAAAUCGAAAUUGCAUUGUAUAUAAACGCAUGUAUUUCCAAAUUAUUAUAUCUUAUAGGUAGGUCCAAGUACGAUCUAGACUCAAGUUGCAAGCUUGGUUUACGAUGAAUUAAAUAUUGUUUCAGUUAAUGCUUUCCUCUAUUGAAUAGAACUUAACAAAGUUAAACGAAUGCAUUAGGAGUGUAGAAUGAAGAAGAAGGCUUCUAAUAUUACGCUCAUGUGCGAUGUGUGUAACAUGUAACAUUUCAAAGGAAUGCAUGCUCUUAAAAAACAGUAAUUUAGAAACUAUUUUUUUCUUUAAUAUGCAUCAGGAUGCAACAUACAAAAUAAGUACUAAAUGAAGAAUAUAAUGAUAAUACUGAACAUAUUGAUAUUAAUACAUAGUUUCCAUUAUAAAUCGUAUAAAUAAAUACUAUAAUUUAUGAAUUUAAUACAAAA
Long non-coding RNA from Bombus pascuorum, 583 nucleotides. RefSeq lists it as uncharacterized. NCBI's taxonomy places the organism in Eukaryota, Metazoa, Arthropoda, Insecta, Hymenoptera, Apidae. The transcript has 2 exons. The record is from RefSeq and is a predicted model, not a curated record.